GACGAACGCUGGCGGCGUGCUUAACACAUGCAAGUCGAACGGUGAUCUCGGUGCUUGCACCGGGUGAUCAGUGGCGAACGGGUGAGUAACACGUGACUAACCUGCCCCCGACUCUGGGAUAACCCCGGGAAAUCGGAGCUAAUACCGGAUACGAGACGCACAGGCAUCUGUAGCGUCUGGAAAGAAUUUCGGUCGGGGAUGGAGUCGCGGCCUAUCAGCUAGUUGGUGGGGUAACGGCCCACCAAGGCGACGACGGGUAGCCGGCCUGAGAGGGCGACCGGCCACACUGGGACUGAGACACGGCCCAGACUCCUACGGGAGGCAGCAGUGGGGAAUAUUGCACAAUGGGCGAAAGCCUGAUGCAGCGACGCCGCGUGGGGGAUGAAGGCCUUCGGGUUGUAAACCCCUUUCAGCAGGGAAGAAGCGAAAGUGACGGUACCUGCAGAAGAAGCGCCGGCUAACUACGUGCCAGCAGCCGCAGUAACAC
RNAcentral lists this ribosomal RNA (487 nucleotides) under uncultured bacterium. RNAcentral describes it as "bacterial SSU rRNA". It matches the Rfam family "Bacterial small subunit ribosomal RNA", at positions 28 to 526 of the family's 1533-position model. The record is from RNAcentral.